UUAUAGCUCAGAUGGUUAGAGUGUGGGUCUAGUAAACCCAAGAUUGUAGGUUGGACUCCC
RNAcentral lists this transfer RNA (60 nucleotides) under Corethron hystrix. It matches the Rfam family "tRNA", at positions 6 to 61 of the family's 71-position model. Rfam says of the family: Transfer RNA (tRNA) molecules are approximately 80 nucleotides in length. Their secondary structure includes four short double-helical elements and three loops (D, anti-codon, and T loops). The record is from RNAcentral. Lineage: Eukaryota; Bacillariophyta; Corethrophyceae; Corethrales; Corethraceae.